UACAGUAGUACUAGUGGUAUUAUGCUGCAGGAGAGGAAGGUACUGCAGGAGUACUAGUGGUAUUAUGCUGCAGGAGAUGAGGGUACUGCAGGAGUACUAGUGGUAUUAUGCUGCAGGAGAAGAGGGUACUGCAGUAGUACUAGUGGUAUUAUCCUGCAGGAGAUGAGGGUAGUACUAGUGGUAUUAUGCUGCAGGAGAGGAAGGUAUGCAGGACGUACUAGUGGUAUUAUGCUGCAGGAGAAGAGGGUACUGCAGUAGUACUAGUGGUAUUAUCCUGCAGGAGAUGAGGGUAGUACUAGUGGUAUUAUGCUGCAGGAGAGGAAGGUACUGCAGUAGUACUAGUGGUAUUACGAUGCACAAGAGGAAGGUACUGCAGUAGUACUAGUGGUAUUACGAUGCACGAGAGGAAGGUACUGCAGUAGUACUAGUAGUAUUGUGAUGCAGGAGAGGAGGGUGUUUUAGUAGUACUAGUGGUAUUACGAUGCACGAGAUGAGGGUACUGCAGUAGUACUAGUGGUAUUACGAUGCACGAGAGGAAGGUACUGCAGUAGUACUAGUGGUAUUACGAUGCACGAGAUGAGGGUACUGCAGUAGUACUAGUGGUAUUGUGAUGCAGGAGAGGAAGG
This is a long non-coding RNA of Gasterosteus aculeatus aculeatus (three-spined stickleback), 626 nucleotides long. The record is from Ensembl. NCBI's taxonomy places the organism in Eukaryota, Metazoa, Chordata, Actinopteri, Perciformes, Gasterosteidae.